Scomber scombrus (Atlantic mackerel) is the source of this 163-nucleotide long non-coding RNA. RefSeq lists it as uncharacterized. Lineage: Eukaryota; Metazoa; Chordata; Actinopteri; Scombriformes; Scombridae. The record is from RefSeq and is a predicted model, not a curated record. The transcript is spliced from 3 exons.
CUGAUUCCUCUGAUUCCUCUGCUUCUGUGGAUGAGGAAGAAGAAAGCUCUGAGCUCCACCACUGACCUGAAUGAACCUGUAGAGAAUAUAGAGUUGGACGCUUGUCCUGUAUAUGAGAACGUCUCAGACUUGCAGGUCGUCACUGCAGCACAGACAAAAGACA